RNAcentral lists this ribosomal RNA (267 nucleotides) under Moho bishopi. RNAcentral describes it as "partial 12S ribosomal RNA". The record is from RNAcentral. Lineage: Eukaryota; Metazoa; Chordata; Aves; Passeriformes; Mohoidae.
GCCUGGCCCUAAAUCUUGAUGCUUCAUUACCUAAGCAUCCGCCCGGGAACUACGAGCACAAACGCUUAAAACCCUAAGGACUUGGCGGUGUCCCAAACCCACCUAGAGGAGCCUGUGUAAUCGAUGAUCCACGAUAUUACCUGACCACUUCUUGCUAAAACAGCCUACAUACCGCCGUCGCCAGCUCACCUUCACUGAGAGACCAACAGUGGACGCAAUAGCCCAACCACGCUAACAAGACAGGUCAAGGUAUAGCCUAUGGAGUGA